RNAcentral lists this ribosomal RNA (326 nucleotides) under uncultured eukaryote. RNAcentral's name for it is "partial 18S ribosomal RNA". It matches the Rfam family "Eukaryotic small subunit ribosomal RNA", at positions 1470 to 1796 of the family's 1831-position model. The record is from RNAcentral.
CCCUUAGAUGUUCUGGGCUGCACGCGCGCUACACUGAUGCACUCAACGAGUUUACGACCUUGCCCGAUAGGGUUGGGUAAUCUUUUUAAAAUGCAUCGUGAUGGGGAUAGAUUAUUGCAAUUAUUAAUCUUCAACGAGGAAUUCCUAGUAAGCGCGAGUCAUCAGCUCGUGCUGAUUACGUCCCUGCCCUUUGUACACACCGCCCGUCGCUCCUACCGAUUGAGUGCUCAGGUGAAUAAUUCGGACUGCAGCAAUGUUUGGAUCCCGAACGUUGCAGCGGAAAGUUUAGUGAACCUUAUCACUUAGAGGAAGGAGAAGUCGAAACA